CUUAGUGUAUCCUGGCCCUUAGAGUUAAAAUGUUCAUUUAGGCCUAAAACUUUACCUGAUCAGAAAUCAGGAAAAUCCAAAAAUCUUUAAAAUCCAUGUUUCUCAUUUCCAAAACAUUGGUCUUGUGAGUCAAUUACAACAGGUUAGCAUAAUAGUUUAAGCAUGAGAAGUUGACAAACCAUCUUUGAAUAAUGAUUUUUUGUUUUACAGCAGGCUUGCUUAGUCUAUACUUUUAAUUAGGCAGUUCUCAAGGUAAAUUUUUAAAUGUCUUGUGCUGGAAAAAAAUGAGACAUCUGGUCACCCUAUUGCAUACGAGGCUAUAGAAAAUUCUGAUUGGGCUACAGCCACCCUGAACUCCCGGUGUAGUGCCAUUUUGAACACCAGCAAGCCAAAGAAAAACUAUUGACAUGAGAAAGCAUAAUGAAAAGAGGUGUUUCCCAGCAUUAGGGCACAAAAUUAAUUCUCCAGCCAAUCAAAAGACCCCUCCUUCCGUACCCUUUAUGUUAACCCGACCCCGACCAUUGAGAAUAAUGAGAAUUUAUUAUCAUGAAAUGUCACAAUGUGAAAUGAAUGAAUAAACAGGCUUCUUUCAUUAUGCAAAACGAAAUUUCUUUUCAUCUUCUUUCUUUGUUAUUAAGGAGUAAAAUGUGUCCCGGACAAAUUUUCAUCAUCAUUUUUAUGUUUUUUAUCAGAUUCAAUCGUGCAUGAAAAAAAACCCUAUCAGGAUAUUAAACUGUCCUUUUGUUUUUCUAGCCAUACGUGACUUUGGAAUAUCAGGUUUGGCAGGAGCUGAUAUCUGGGCAGACUACCUCUCUAAAUCUCUCCGUCUCUCUCUCCCUCUUUCAUUCUGUCUUUCUCACUCAGGCUUGCAGACAUCUCUGCGUUCAGGGGCCCGAGGCGCUGUUGAGCGUGGCAUCAUAAAACAGGCGGGCGAGGAGAGAGAGCGAGUGUUUGUGAGCAGAUUAACACACUGUGUGUUGGGGGAUUUCAGCUGCUCUGGCUAACACACAGUCAGUGUCUGAUUGAAAAGCCCAUCCGAAGCAUACGGACAGAGUCGGAGUGCACUAUAUAUACACUAGAUAUCGCAUACAGGCCCAGAGCAUGCGUCAAUAGUGCGGCCACAUAAGUACAGUGCUCCCAGGACAAAUGUCAUUUAACAACACUCAGUCAAGACGAAAGCCAAUCUGAGGAUGCUGGAAAACAAUGCACAAAGGCUGAACAUAUCAGAGUGGAUGAUCAGAUUGCAGCGCUGGCUGCUCUGCUGCGCUCUGAGCUUGAAAGUGACUACGUGCUACACAUUUUUAUGUCACUGUGUCACCAGCCAGAGAAACAGAUUCCUGGAGUUGGCGCGCACUCCUAAUCCUUAUUGCGAUGUGCACAGACACAUUAUGCGAAAUGAGUUCCACACAGAAGUCUUACAGAAAGCAUUAAGUUUAAUAAAUAAAACACAAAUGUUUUCAUUGGUCACAGGGUUAUGUAAAUAACGGGUUUUCUUUCUAUAAUGUCUUGUUUUGUUAAAAACCAAUUCGUUUUUUUUGUUGACUUUAAUACGCCUUAUAAGUCAUAGUCAUUUAGGAAAAAAAUCUGCUUAUUUAAUAAAGAAUUAAACCUAUUCAUUUUUAGACAAGACAAUCCCAAUGUUUUAACUUCAAAAAUAGUAAAGACAUUAAGGAGUAGUU
Long non-coding RNA from Danio aesculapii, 1679 nucleotides. RefSeq lists it as uncharacterized. The record is from RefSeq and is a predicted model, not a curated record. Lineage: Eukaryota; Metazoa; Chordata; Actinopteri; Cypriniformes; Danionidae. The transcript has 3 exons.